Molecule: long non-coding RNA, 880 nt
Organism: Schistocerca piceifrons (Central American locust)
Lineage: Eukaryota; Metazoa; Arthropoda; Insecta; Orthoptera; Acrididae
Exons: 3
Source: RefSeq, a predicted model, not a curated record
GUCGCAGUUUGAUGCUGUGUUCCUUCGCACAGUGAAACGCCUUGAGCCAUGAAGACAGAGUGUACCGUUGCAAUACUGUUGGUGUGUGCGUUGGCGAUGGCCCAGACCUUUCAGGAUGGUGCCAGGCUGCGCAGAGAACAGGUUGCUGCAGAAGUCCCAGCUGAGGAAGUGAUCCUCGUGGAUGAUACAGAUCCAGUGCUGAACGCGCCCAUAGUGGUGCAGGACGUGGCUGCCAGCGAAGUCUCCCUCAGUGAGACAGCCGACCAGAUCAAGGGACGUAGACAGCGUGCCGCCCGGCCCUUCAACAGGCCGUGCAGGGCCGGCUACAAGAGGUCACGCCGCGGUUGUGUACUUUCCCACUAAAACAUUCGGUGCUGUUCCUCAGGAACUGAACAGAAUCUGUGGACAAACUCGGUGAAGAAGUGUAAGAACUGCGAUAAUAUUUUUGCUGCGAUAAAACAUACUGGCAAGUUGUCGUGCUAUUUAAAUGGUGUAACGUCCUGGCAAACUAAUACUUUGUGUUGUAUCAGAACGUGAACCCACACUCUUCCUAUUACUGUUAAUAGUUGCGUCAUCCAUGCUCAAAGCUUCUGCUUAUGAGUAAUCGUAUUGAGCAUGCAAGCAUGUUCGCAAACAAAGGGUAUGUUUUGUCGCUGACUAACCUCCAUCAGUGUUCUGGUAGCAAUAACAAACAAACUCUUUCGCGAUUUUCCUUUACUCUUGUAGCUGGAUGGAUAAUUCCAAGUAACUUCCCUCCAGUCUGAGAAUGUGGCAUUACUUGUUUACAUUUUGUUACGACAUGUGUUUCCCUUUUAAUCUCUCUGGAGCAACUGUUUUUCCAAAACACACAUCAAAGUCUGAAAUAAAAUGUUAGAAAUUA